This 443-nucleotide ribosomal RNA is filed under the name uncultured bacterium. Its description in RNAcentral is "partial 16S ribosomal RNA". It matches the Rfam family "Bacterial small subunit ribosomal RNA", at positions 338 to 795 of the family's 1533-position model. The record is from RNAcentral.
CCUACGGGAGGCUGCAGUGGGGAAUAUUGGGCAAUGGGCGCAAGCCUGAUCCAGCAACGCCGCGUGAAGGAAGAAGGCUUUCGGUUUGUAAACUUCUUUUCUCAGGGACGAAGAAAGUGAUGGUACCUGAGGAAUAAGCCACUGCUAACUACGUGCCAGCAGCCGCGGUAAGACGUAGGUGGCAAGCGUUAUCCGGAUUUAUGCGGUGUAAAGGGCGUGUAGGCGGGAGCGCAAGUAAGAUGUGAAAACUCAGGGCUCAACCCCGAGCCUGUAUUUGAAACUGUGUUUCUUGAGUGCUGGAGAGGCAAUCGGAAUUCCGUGUGUAGCGGUGAAAUGCGUAGAUAUACGGAGGAACACCAGUGGCGAAGGCGGAUUGCUGGACCGUAACUGACGCUGAGGCGCGAAAGCGUGGGGAGCAAACAGGAUUAGAUACCCGAGUAGUC